UUGUAGCCGAUGAAGCUGAUGGUGCUAUUUUCGCUGGGGGGGUCCUGCUGUGGCUGCAAACAGCAGCCUCUUGGGUGGUGUAUGAAGCCUGUUGGCUGCAUGGUUUGCCCUAAGGGACCUUGAAGUAAAAG
This 131-nucleotide small nucleolar RNA is filed under the name Cervus hanglu yarkandensis (Yarkand deer). Its description in RNAcentral is "Small nucleolar RNA SNORA70 (ENSCHYG00000025343.1)". It matches the Rfam family "Small nucleolar RNA SNORA70". Rfam says of the family: snoRNA U70 seems to be exclusive to mammals and is a member of the H/ACA class of snoRNA which contain H (ANANNA) and ACA box motifs. H/ACA box snoRNAs are involved in the conversion of uridines to pseudouridines (5-ribosyluracil) a constituent of structural RNAs (transfer, ribosomal, small nuclear, and small nucleolar). The record is from Rfam by way of RNAcentral. Lineage: Eukaryota; Metazoa; Chordata; Mammalia; Artiodactyla; Cervidae.